ACGCUCGACACCUACGGGAGACAGCAGUGGGGAAUAUUGCACAAUGGGGGAAACCCUGAUGCAGCGACGCCGCGUGAGUGAAGAAGUAUUUCGGUAUGUAAAGCUCUAUCAGCAGGGAAGAAGAUGACGGUACCUGAGUAAGAAGCCCCGGCUAACUACGUGCUAGCAGCCGCGGUAAUCUGAGCGGGCUGGCAAGGC
RNAcentral lists this ribosomal RNA (198 nucleotides) under uncultured bacterium. Its description in RNAcentral is "partial 16S ribosomal RNA". It matches the Rfam family "Bacterial small subunit ribosomal RNA", at positions 328 to 539 of the family's 1533-position model. The record is from RNAcentral.